Molecule: ribosomal RNA, 497 nt
Filed under: uncultured bacterium
Lineage: Bacteria
Description: partial 16S ribosomal RNA
Rfam family: Bacterial small subunit ribosomal RNA
Source: RNAcentral
GAUGAACGCUGGCGGCGUGCCUAAUACAUGCAAGUCGAGCGAACAGACGAGGAGCUUGCUCCUCUGACGUUAGCGGCGGACGGGUGAGUAACACGUGGAUAACCUACCUAUAAGACUGGGAUAACUUCGGGAAACCGGAGCUAAUACCGGAUAAUAUAUUGAACCGCAUGGUUCAAUAGUGAAAGACGGUUUUGCUGUCACUUAUAGAUGGAUCCGCGCCGCAUUAGCUAGUUGGUAAGGUAACGGCUUACCAAGGCAACGAUGCGUAGCCGACCUGAGAGGGUGAUCGGCCACACUGGAACUGAGACACGGUCCAGACUCCUACGGGAGGCAGCAGUAGGGAAUCUUCCGCAAUGGGCGAAAGCCUGACGGAGCAACGCCGCGUGAGUGAUGAAGGUCUUCGGAUCGUAAACCUCUGUUAUCAGGGAAGAACAAAUGUGUAAGUAACUAUGCACGUCUUGACGGUACCUAAUCAGAAAGCCACGGCUAACUACGUG